RNAcentral lists this transfer RNA (77 nucleotides) under Symbiopectobacterium purcellii. RNAcentral describes it as "Candidatus Symbiopectobacterium sp. SyEd1 tRNA-Lys". It matches the Rfam family "tRNA". From Rfam's summary of the family: Transfer RNA (tRNA) molecules are approximately 80 nucleotides in length. Their secondary structure includes four short double-helical elements and three loops (D, anti-codon, and T loops). Lineage: Bacteria; Pseudomonadati; Pseudomonadota; Gammaproteobacteria; Enterobacterales; Enterobacteriaceae. The record is from RNAcentral.
GGGUUGUUAGCUCAGUUGGUAGAGCAGUGGACUCUUAAUACCAUCGGUCGCAGGUUAAAAUCCUGCACAACCCGCCA